RNAcentral lists this ribosomal RNA (510 nucleotides) under uncultured bacterium. RNAcentral describes it as "partial 16S ribosomal RNA". It matches the Rfam family "Bacterial small subunit ribosomal RNA", at positions 28 to 507 of the family's 1533-position model. The record is from RNAcentral.
GACGAACGCUGGCGGCGUGCUUAACACAUGCAAGUCGAACGAAGAGCGAUGGAAGCUUGCUUCUAUCAAUCUUAGUGGCGAACGGGUGAGUAACGCGUAAUCAACCUGCCCUUCAGAGGGGGACAACAGUUGGAAACGACUGCUAAUACCGCAUACGAUCUAAUCUCGGCAUCGAGGAUAGAUGAAAGGUGGCCUCUACAUGUAAGCUAUCACUGAAGGAGGGGAUUGCGUCUGAUUAGCUAGUUGGAGGGGUAACGGCCCACCAAGGCGAUGAUCAGUAGCCGGUCUGAGAGGAUGAACGGCCACAUUGGGACUGAGACAAGGCCCAGACUCCUACGGGAGGCAGCAGUGGGGAAUCUUCCGCAAUGGACGAAAGUCUGACGGAGCAACGCCGCGUGAGCGAUGACGGCCUUCGGGUUGUAAAGCUCUGUUAAUCGGGACGAAAGGCCUUCUUGCGAAUAGGGAGAAGGAUUGACGGUACCGGAAUAGAAAGCCACGGCUAACUACGUG